Non-coding RNA from Schistosoma curassoni, 45 nucleotides. NCBI's taxonomy places the organism in Eukaryota, Metazoa, Platyhelminthes, Trematoda, Strigeidida, Schistosomatidae. The record is from Rfam.
AUCCAGCUGAAAAAUCCAAAAUAGAACGAAGUGCGCAUCCUGGAU